GAUGAACGCUGGCGGCGUGCCUAAUACAUGCAAGUCGAGCGAACGGACGAGAAGCUUGCUUCUCUGAUGUUAGCGGCGGACGGGUGAGUAACACGUGGAUAACCUACCUAUAAGACUGGGAUAACUUCGGGAAACCGGAGCUAAUACCGGAUAAUAUUUUGAACCGCAUGGUUCAAAAGUGAAAGACGGUCUUGCUGUCACUUAUAGAUGGAUCCGCGCUGCAUUAGCUAGUUGGUAAGGUAACGGCUUACCAAGGCAACGAUGCAUAGCCGACCUGAGAGGGUGAUCGGCCACACUGGAACUGAGACACGGUCCAGACUCCUACGGGAGGCAGCAGUAGGGAAUCUUCCGCAAUGGGCGAAAGCCUGACGGAGCAACGCCGCGUGAGUGAUGAAGGUCUUCGGAUCGUAAAACUCUGUUAUUAGGGAAGAACAUAUGUGUAAGUAACUGUGCACAUCUUGACGGUACCUAAUCAGAAAGCCACGGCUAACUACGUGCCAGCAGCCGCGGUAAUACGUAGGUGGCAAGCGUUAUCCGGAAUUAUUGGGCGUAAAGCGCGCGUAGGCGGUUUUUUAAGUCUGAUGUGAAAGCCCACGGCUCAACCGUGGAGGGUCAUUGGAAACUGGAAAACUUGAGUGCAGAAGAGGAAAGUGGAAUUCCAUGUGUAGCGGUGAAAUGCGCAGAGAUAUGGAGGAACACCAGUGGCGAAGGCGACUUUCUGGUCUGUAACUGACGCUGAUGUGCGAAAGCGUGGGGAUCAAACAGGAUUAGAUACCCUGGUAGUCCACGCCGUAAACGAUGAGUGCUAAGUGUUAGGGGGUUUCCGCCCCUUAGUGCUGCAGCUAACGCAUUAAGCACUCCGCCUGGGGAGUACGACCGCAAGGUUGAAACUCAGAGGAAUUGACGGGGACCCGCACAAGCGGAGGAGCAUGUGGUUUAAUUCGAAGCAACGCGAAGAACCUUACCAAAUCUUGACACCCUUUGACAACUCUAGAGAUAGAGCUUUCCCCUUCGGGGGACAAAGUGACAGGUGGUGCAUGGUUGUCGUCAGCUCGUGUCGUGAGAUGUUGGGUUAAGUCCCGCAACGAGCGCAACCCUUAAGCUUAGUUGCCAUCAUUAAGUUGGGCACUCUAAGUUGACUGCCGGUGACAAACCGGAGGAAGGUGGGGAUGACGUCAAAUCAUCAUGCCCCUUAUGAUUUGGGCUACACACGUGCUACAAUGGACAAUACAAAGGGCAGCGAAACCGCGAGGUCAAGCAAAUCCCAUAAAGUUGUUCUCAGUUCGGAUUGUAGUCUGCAACUCGACUACAUGAAGCUGGAAUCGCUAGUAAUCGUAGAUCAGCAUGCUACGGUGAAUACGUUCCCGGGUCU
Molecule: ribosomal RNA, 1372 nt
Filed under: uncultured bacterium
Lineage: Bacteria
Description: bacterial SSU rRNA
Rfam family: Bacterial small subunit ribosomal RNA
Source: RNAcentral